RNAcentral lists this ribosomal RNA (660 nucleotides) under uncultured bacterium. RNAcentral's name for it is "bacterial SSU rRNA". It matches the Rfam family "Bacterial small subunit ribosomal RNA", at positions 57 to 715 of the family's 1533-position model. The record is from RNAcentral.
GCAAGUCGAACGGUAGCAGGCCUUCGGGCGCUGACGAGUGGCGGACGGGUGAGUAACGCGUAGGAAUCUGCCUCAUAGUGGGGGACAACGUGGGGAAACUCACGCUAAUACCGCAUACGCCCUACGGGGGAAAGCGGGGGAUCUUCGGACCUCGCGCUAUGAGAUGAGCCUGCGUUAGAUUAGCUAGUUGGUGGGGUAAAGGCCUACCAAGGCGACGAUCUAUAGCUGGUCUGAGAGGACGAUCAGCCACACUGGGACUGAGACACGGCCCAGACUCCUACGGGAGGCAGCAGUGGGGAAUAUUGAACAAUGGGCGAAAGCCUGAUCCAGCAAUACCGCGUGUGUGAAGAAGGCCUUAGGGUUGUAAAGCACUUUCAAUUGGGAGGAAAACCUGCCGGUCAAUACCCGGUAGCUUGACAUUACCUUUAGAAGAAGCACCGGCUAACUCCGUGCCAGCAGCCGCGGUAAUACGGAGGGUGCGAGCGUUAAUCGGAAUUACUGGGCGUAAAGCGUGCGUAGGCGGUUCGUUAAGUCAGAUGUGAAAGCCCUGGGCUCAACCUGGGAACUGCAUUUGAAACUGGCGGACUAGAGUUUAGUAGAGGGGAGUGGAAUUUCAGGUGUAGCGGUGAAAUGCGUAGAUAUCGGAAGGAACACCAGUGG